RNAcentral lists this ribosomal RNA (1147 nucleotides) under Halogranum sp. KeN-10. Its description in RNAcentral is "bacterial SSU rRNA". It matches the Rfam family "Archaeal small subunit ribosomal RNA", at positions 154 to 1296 of the family's 1478-position model. The record is from RNAcentral. Lineage: Archaea; Methanobacteriati; Methanobacteriota; Halobacteria; Halobacteriales; Haloferacaceae.
CCAUACCGCACUCACGUUGGAACGACCGAGUGCACCAAACGCUCCGGCGCUGCAGGAUGUGGCUGCGGCCGAUUAGGUAGACGGUGGGGUAACGGCCCACCGUGCCGAUAAUCGGUACGGGUUGUGAGAGCAAGAGCCCGGAGACGGAAUCUGAGACAAGAUUCCGGGCCCUACGGGGCGCAGCAGGCGCGAAACCUUUACACUGCACGACAGUGCGAUAAGGGGACCCCAAGUGCGAGGGCAUACAGUCCUCGCUUUUGUGUACCGUAAGGUGGUACACGAAUAAGAGCUGGGCAAGACCGGUGCCAGCCGCCGCGGUAAUACCGGCAGCUCGAGUGAUGACCGAUUUUAUUGGGCCUAAAGCGUCCGUAGCUGGCCGCGUAGGUUCGUCGGGAAAUCCAUCCGCUCAACGGAUGGGCGUCCGGCGAAAACCACGUGGCUUGGGACCGGAAGGCUCGAGGGGUACGUCCGGGGUAGGAGUGAAAUCCCGUAAUCCUGGACGGACCGCCGAUGGCGAAAGCACCUCGAGAAGACGGAUCCGACAGUGAGGGACGAAAGCUGGGGUCUCGAACCGGAUUAGAUACCCGGGUAGUCCCAGCCGUAAACAAUGCCAAUUAGGUGUGGCACCGACUACGAGUCGGUGCUGUGCCGUAGGGAAGCCGAUAAAUUGGCCGCCUGGGAAGUACGUCCGCAAGGAUGAAACUUAAAGGAAUUGGCGGGGGAGCACUACAACCGGAGGAGCCUGCGGUUUAAUUGGACUCAACGCCGGACAUCUCACCAGCAUCGACUGUAGCAAUGAUCAUCAGGUUGAUGACCUCUAUGUUGAGCUACAGAGAGGAGGUGCAUGGCCGCCGUCAGCUCGUACCGUGAGGCGUCCUGUUAAGUCAGGCAACGAGCGAGACCCGCACUCUUAAUUGCCAGCAUCGCGUUCGCGCGGAUGGGUACAUUAGGAGGACUGCCGCUGCUAAAGCGGAGGAAGGAACGGGCAACGGUAGGUCAGUAUGCCCCGAAUGUGCUGGGCUACACGCGGGCUACAAUGGCCGAGACAAUGGGUUCCUACCUCGAAAGAGGAUGGUAAUCUCAGAAACUCGGUCGUAGUUCGGAUUGAGGGUUGAAACUCACCCUCAUGAAGCUGGAUUCGGUAGUA